Molecule: ribosomal RNA, 489 nt
Filed under: uncultured bacterium
Lineage: Bacteria
Description: partial 16S ribosomal RNA
Rfam family: Bacterial small subunit ribosomal RNA
Source: RNAcentral
AUUGAACGCUGGCGGCAGGCCUAACACAUGCAAGUCGAACGGUAACAGGAAACCGCUUGCUGUUUCGCUGACGAGUGGCGGGCGGGUGAGUAAUGUCUAGGAAACUGCCUUUUGGCGGGGGGUAACUACUGGAAACGGUAGCUAAUACCGCAUAACCUCCCAAGACCAAAAAGGGGGACCUUCUCGCCCCUUGCCCUCUUAUGUGCCCAGAUGGGAUUAGCUAGUGGGUGGGGUAACGGCGCACCUAGGCGACGAUCCCCAGCUGGUCUGAGAGGAUGACCAGCCCAACUGGAACGAGGACACGGUCCAGACUCCUACGGGAGGAAGCAGUGGGGAAUAUUGCACAAUGGGCGAAAGCCUGAUGCAGCCAUGCCGCGUGUAUGAAGAAGGCCUUCGGGUUGUAAAGUACUUUCAGCGGGGAGGAAGGGAGUAAAGUUAAUACCUGUACUCAUUGACGUUACCCGAAGAAGAAGAACCGGCUAACUCCGU